RNAcentral lists this ribosomal RNA (397 nucleotides) under uncultured bacterium. Its description in RNAcentral is "bacterial SSU rRNA". It matches the Rfam family "Bacterial small subunit ribosomal RNA", at positions 521 to 916 of the family's 1533-position model. The record is from RNAcentral.
UAAUACGUAGGGUGCGAGCGUUAAUCGGAAUUACUGGGCGUAAAGCGUGCGCAGGCGGAUUGUUAAGCAAGAUGUGAAAUCCCCGGGCUUAACCUGGGAAUGGCAUUUUGAACUGGCAGUCUAGAGUGCGUCAGAGGGGGGUGGAAUUCCACGUGUAGCAGUGAAAUGCGUAGAGAUGUGGAGGAACACCAAUGGCGAAGGCAGCCCCCUGGGAUGACACUGACGCUCAUGUACGAAAGCGUGGGUAGCAAACAGGAUUAGAUACCCUGGUAGUCCACGCCCUAAACGAUGUCAACUGGUUGUUGGGGGAGUGAAAUCCCUUAGUAACGAAGCUAACGCGUGAAGUUGACCGCCUGGGGAGUACGGUCGCAAGAUUAAAACUCAAAUGAAUUGACGG